GUAAGUUAUUGCCAGGGUUUUUUUUAUAUUUUAAGUCUUGAUUUUAUUUUUAUAUUUAAAAUUUUUAUUUUUUAGGAUGUUUUGUUCAAAUAAUAUAAAAAGUGAAAUAAGUAUUGACAUGAAUUAAACAAAGAUAUAUAUUAUUUUAUGUUGUAUAAACAAAUUGGCAAAAUAGAGAUGGAAGAUAAAAAUAUGGUCAAAGUAAUAAGAGUC
Molecule: unclassified non-coding RNA, 213 nt
Filed under: uncultured Borrelia sp.
Lineage: Bacteria; Pseudomonadati; Spirochaetota; Spirochaetia; Spirochaetales; Borreliaceae
Description: partial miscellaneous RNA
Source: RNAcentral